Molecule: ribosomal RNA, 433 nt
Filed under: uncultured bacterium
Lineage: Bacteria
Description: bacterial SSU rRNA
Rfam family: Bacterial small subunit ribosomal RNA
Source: RNAcentral
UACGGAAGGCAGCAGUGGGGAAUAUUGGACAAUGGGCGAAAGCCUGAUCCAGCCAUGCCGCAUGAGUGAAGAAGGCCUUCGGGUUGUAAAGCUCUUUUAGUGAGAAAGAUAAUGACGGUACUCACAGAAGAAGUCCUGGCUAACUCCGUGCCAGCAGCCGCGGUAAUACGGAGAGGGCUAGCGUUAUUCGGAAUUAUUGGGCGUAAAGAGCGCGUAGGCUGAUUUAGUAAGUUAAAAGUGAAAUCCCAAAGCUUAACUUUGGAAUUGCUUUUUAAAACUGCUAGUCUAGAGAUUGAAAGAGGAUAGAGGAAUUCCUAGUGUAGAGGUGAAAUUCGUAAAUAUUAGGAGGAACACCAGUGGCGAAGGCGUCUAUCUGGUUCAAAUCUGACGCUGAGGCGCGAAGGGCGUGGGGAGCAAACAGGGAUUAGAUACC